AUUCCGGUUGAUCCUGCCGGACCCGACUGCUAUCGGGGUAGGGCUAAGCCGUGGGAGUCGAACGCCCUGCUGCUGCAGGGCGUGGCGCACGGCUGAGUAACACGUAGCUAACCUACCCUCAGGAGGGGGAUAACCUCACGGGAAACUGGGGCUAAUCCCCCAUAGGCGGGGAGGCCUGGAAGGGUUCCCCGCCGAAAGGGAGUAUAGGGGGUCACCACCUAUACUCCGCCUGAGGAUGGGGCUGCGGCCUAUCAGGCUGUUGGCGGGGUAACGGCCCGCCAAACCGAAGACGGGUAGGGGCCGUGAGAGCGGGAGCCCCCAGAUGGGCACUGAGACAAGGGCCCAGGCCCUACGGGGCGCACCAGGCGCGAAAACUCCGCAAUGCGGGAAACCGUGACGGGGCUACCCCGAGUGCCCUCCUUGUGGGGGCUUUUCCCCGCUGUAAACAGGCGGGGGAAUAAGCGGGGGGCAAGUCUGGUGUCAGCCGCCGCGGUAAUACCAGCCCCGCGAGUGGUCGGGGUGCUUACUGGGCCUAAAGCGGCCGUAGCCGGCCUGGCAAGUCUCCCCUGAAAGCCUCGGGCUCAACCCGAGGACCGGGGAGAUACUACCGGGCUAGGGGGCGGGAGAGGCCGAGGGUACUCCCGGGGUAGGGGCGAAAUCCUAUAAUCCCGGGAGGACCACCAGUGCGAAGCGCUCGGCUGGACCGCGCCCACGGUGAAGGCCGAAAGCCGGGGGAGCGAUCGAUAGAUACCGGUAGUCCGCUGUAACGAUGCGGCCUAGGUGUUAGGCGGAGCGAAAGGAG
RNAcentral lists this ribosomal RNA (802 nucleotides) under uncultured Desulfurococcales archaeon. Its description in RNAcentral is "bacterial SSU rRNA". It matches the Rfam family "Archaeal small subunit ribosomal RNA", at positions 1 to 789 of the family's 1478-position model. Lineage: Archaea; Thermoproteati; Thermoproteota; Thermoprotei; Desulfurococcales. The record is from RNAcentral.